Molecule: ribosomal RNA, 1059 nt
Filed under: fungal endophyte
Lineage: Eukaryota; Fungi
Description: eukaryotic LSU rRNA
Rfam family: Eukaryotic large subunit ribosomal RNA (bases 470-1059)
Source: RNAcentral
CCCUUUGUGAACAUACCUAUAACUGUUGCUUCGGCGGGUAGGGUCUCCGUGACCCUCCCGGCCUCCCGCCCCCGGGCGGGUCGGCGCCCGCCGGAGGAUAACCAAACUCUGAUUUAACGACGUUUCUUCUGAGUGGUACAAGCAAAUAAUCAAAACUUUUAACAACGGAUCUCUUGGUUCUGGCAUCGAUGAAGAACGCAGCGAAAUGCGAUAAGUAAUGUGAAUUGCAGAAUUCAGUGAAUCAUCGAAUCUUUGAACGCACAUUGCGCCCGCCAGCAUUCUGGCGGGCAUGCCUGUUCGAGCGUCAUUUCAACCCUCAAGCUCUGCUUGGUGUUGGGGCCCUACAGCUGAUGUAGGCCCUCAAAGGUAGUGGCGGACCCUCCCGGAGCCUCCUUUGCGUAGUAACUUUACGUCUCGCACUGGGAUCCGGAGGGACUCUUGCCGUAAAACCCCCCAAUUUUCCAAAGGUUGACCUCGGAUCAGGUAGGAAUACCCGCUGAACUUAAGCAUAUCAAUAAGCGGAGGAAAAGAAACCAACAGGGAUUGCCUCAGUAACGGCGAGUGAAGCGGCAACAGCUCAAAUUUGAAAUCUGGCCCUAGGCCCGAGUUGUAAUUUGCAGAGGAUGCUUUUGGUGCGGUGCCUUCCAAGUUCCCUAGAACGGGACGCCAGAGAGGGUGAGAGCCCCGUACAGUUGGACACCAAGCCUUUGUAAAGCUCCUUCGACGAGUCGAGUAGUUUGGGAAUGCUGCUCAAAAUGGGAGGUAUAUUUCUUCUAAAGCUAAAUACCGGCCAGAGACCGAUAGCGCACAAGUAGAGUGAUCGAAAGAUGAAAAGCACUUUGAAAAGAGGGUUAAACAGCACGUGAAAUUGUUAAAAGGGAAGCGCUUGUGACCAGACUUGCGUCCGGUGAAUCACCCAGCUCUCGCGGCUGGGGCACUUCGCCGGCUCAGGCCAGCAUCAGCUCGCUGUCGGGGACAAAAGCUUCAGGAACGUAGCUCUCUUCGGGGAGUGUUAUAGCCUGUUGCAUAAUACCCUUCGGCGGGCUGAGGUACGCGUCC